This 468-nucleotide ribosomal RNA is filed under the name uncultured bacterium. Its description in RNAcentral is "partial 16S ribosomal RNA". It matches the Rfam family "Bacterial small subunit ribosomal RNA", at positions 28 to 507 of the family's 1533-position model. The record is from RNAcentral.
GACGAACGCUGGCGGCGUGCUUAACACAUGCAAGUCGAACGGAAAGGCCCUGAUUUUGUGGGGUGCUCGAGUGGCGAACGGGUGAGUAACACGUGAGUAACCUGACCUUGACUUUGGGAUAACUUCAGGAAACUGGGGCUAAUACCGGAUAGGAGCUCCUGCUGCAUGGUGGGGGUUGGAAAGUUUCGGCGGUUGGGGAUGGACUCGCGGCUUAUCAGCUUGUUGGUGAGGUAGUGGCUGACCAAGGCUUUGACGGGUAGCCGGCCUGAGAGGGGGACCGGGGACAAGGGGACUGCGGGACGGAGCAGACUCGUACGGGAGGCAGCAGGCGGGAAUAUUGCACAAUGGGCGGAAGCCUGAUGCAGCGACGCCGCGUUCGUGAUGACGGCCUUCGGGUUGUAAACCGCUUUCGCCUGUUACGAAGCGUGAGUGACGGUAAUGGAUAAAGAAGCACCGGCUAACUACGUG